Long non-coding RNA from Olea europaea var. sylvestris, 582 nucleotides. RefSeq lists it as uncharacterized. The transcript is spliced from 2 exons. Lineage: Eukaryota; Viridiplantae; Streptophyta; Magnoliopsida; Lamiales; Oleaceae. The record is from RefSeq and is a predicted model, not a curated record.
AACUAAAAAUCACCAUUAUAAAAUCUAUUCUUCCAAAAAAUGGGACUCAAACAAGCUCGUAAUAUGAUCUCAUUGAAUGGAUAAUACAUAAUAUCCAGGAAAGGACUUUGGAAGAGCACAAGAAGUUGGUAGAAAGAAUUAUGAAAACGGAUAAGAGAAGGCGAAAGAGGAUUGAGGCCUCUGGUAUUGAUUAUGAUUGUCCAGAAAUUAUUGGAAACCAGCCCACCUCAAAGAAGAUUAGGUUUGACGAAGAGUAGGCUUUGCAUUGGAAACCAGAAGUAUGCCUUUUUGACAUUGAAUGUGCGUUUUUGUCUGCUACUGGUUUCCUGUGCAGUACCUUGAGCGCAUGUUUAGUGAGUUCUAAAUUGGAGUGGAAGUAUAAUGUACGAGAUUUGAACUUCUUUUUCCUUGAUACUUCCAGUAUCCUUACCAACUUUGCCACAAGUGUAGAGCAGCCAAGAAUAGACAAGCAGGUGUCUCUUUUAGUAUAUGGAAGGCUUAUCAGUAUAACGAUGCUCUUUUGUACGGUUAUUUUAUUGAACUUCAUUUGCCCAAUUCCAUGCAGUACCUAUACUAGUCUUA